AGUGAACGCUGGCGGUAGGCCUAACACAUGCAAGUCGAACGGCAGCACAGUAAGAGCUUGCUCUUACGGGUGGCGAGUGGCGGACGGGUGAGGAAUACAUCGGAAUCUACUUUUUCGUGGGGGAUAACGUAGGGAAACUUACGCUAAUACCGCAUACGACCUACGGGUGAAAGCAGGGGAUCUUCGGACCUUGCGCGACUGAAUGAGCCGAUGUCGGAUUAGCUAGUUGGCGGGGUAAAGGCCCACCAAGGCGACGAUCCGUAGCUGGUCUGAGAGGAUGACCACCACACUUGGAACUGAGACACGGCCCAGACCCCGAGGGGAGGCAGGAGGGGGAAAUUUUGGAAAAGGGGGGCAACCCUGACCCAGCCAUCCCGGGGGGGUGAAGAAGGCCUUCGGGUGUUAAAGCCCUUUUGUUGGGAAAAAAAAGCAGCAGGUUAAUACCCCGCUGUUUUGACGGUCCCCAAAAAAAAAGCACCGGCUAACUUCGU
This 491-nucleotide ribosomal RNA is filed under the name uncultured bacterium. Its description in RNAcentral is "partial 16S ribosomal RNA". It matches the Rfam family "Bacterial small subunit ribosomal RNA", at positions 29 to 506 of the family's 1533-position model. The record is from RNAcentral.